This 433-nucleotide ribosomal RNA is filed under the name uncultured bacterium. RNAcentral describes it as "bacterial SSU rRNA". It matches the Rfam family "Bacterial small subunit ribosomal RNA", at positions 103 to 518 of the family's 1533-position model. The record is from RNAcentral.
CGGGUGAGUAACACGUGGGUAACCUGCCCAUAAGAGGGGGAUAACAUCCGGAAACGGGUGCUAAUACCGCAUAGUUUUCUUGAUCGCAUGAUCGGGAAAGGAAAGACGGCCUUUUGUGCUGUCGCUUAUGGAUGGACCCGCGGCGUAUUAGUUAGUUGGUGAGGUAACGGCUCACCAAGACGAUGAUACGUAGCCGACCUGAGAGGGUGAUCGGCCACAUUGGGACUGAGACACGGCCCAAACUCCUACGGGAGGCAGCAGUAGGGAAUCUUCCGCAAUGGACGAAAGUCUGACGGAGCAACGCCGCGUGAGUGAAAGAAGGUUUUCGGAUCGUAAAACUCUGUUGUCAGAGAAGAACAAGUUGGAGAGUAACUGCUCCAGCCUUGACGGUAUCUGACCAGAAAGCCACGGCUAACUACGUGCCAGCCGCCGC